UGGGGAAUAUUGCGCAAUGGGCGAAAGCCUGACGCAGCGACGCCGCGUGGGGGAUGAAGCUUCUCGGAGUGUAAACCCCUUUCGGCCCGGACGAAAAAUCCCGCAAGGGAUCUGACGGUACGGGUAUAAGAAGCCCCGGCUAACUACGUGCCAGCAGCCGCGGUAAGACGUAGGGGGCCAGCGUUGCUCGGAAUAACUGGGCGUAAAGGGUUCGUAGGCGGUGUGGCAAGUCGGGAGUGAAAUCCUGAGGCUUAACUUCAGGACUGCUUCCGAAACUGCCAUGCUCGAGUGCGGGAGAGGCGAGUGGAAUUGCAGGUGUAGCGGUGAAAUGCGUAGAUAUCUGCAGGAACACCAGUGGCGAAAGCGGCUCGCUGGACCGCAACUGACGCUGAGGAACGAAAGCUAGGGGAGCAAACAGG
Molecule: ribosomal RNA, 419 nt
Filed under: uncultured Acidobacteriota bacterium
Lineage: Bacteria; Pseudomonadati; Acidobacteriota
Description: bacterial SSU rRNA
Rfam family: Bacterial small subunit ribosomal RNA
Source: RNAcentral